CAGCCGCCGCGGGAAUACGAAGGGUGCAAGCGUUAAUCGGAAUUACUGGGCGUAGAGCGUGCGUAGGCGGUGAGUUAAGUCUGCUGUGAAAUCCCCGGGCUCAACCUGGGAAUGGCAGUGGAUACUGGCUCGCUAGAGUGUGGUAGAGGAUAGUGGAAUUUCCGGUGUAGCAGUGAAAUGCGUAGAGAUCGGAAGGAACAUCUGUGGCGAAGGCGACUAUCUGGGCCAACACUGACACUGAGGCACGAAAGCGUGGGGAGCAAACAGGAUUAGAUACCCCAGUAGUCCCUGUCUCUUAUAC
This 301-nucleotide ribosomal RNA is filed under the name uncultured bacterium. RNAcentral describes it as "partial 16S ribosomal RNA". It matches the Rfam family "Bacterial small subunit ribosomal RNA", at positions 509 to 807 of the family's 1533-position model. The record is from RNAcentral.